GCCCAAGUGGCGGAAUUGGUAGACGCGCUAGUUUCAGGUACUAGUGAGAGCAAUCUCGUGGAGGUUCAAGUCCUCUCUUGGGCA
This 84-nucleotide transfer RNA is filed under the name Leptonema sp. (in: bacteria). Its description in RNAcentral is "tRNA-Leu". It matches the Rfam family "tRNA". From Rfam's summary of the family: Transfer RNA (tRNA) molecules are approximately 80 nucleotides in length. Lineage: Bacteria; Pseudomonadati; Spirochaetota; Leptospiria; Leptospirales; Leptospiraceae. The record is from RNAcentral.